This 241-nucleotide long non-coding RNA is filed under the name Anser brachyrhynchus (Pink-footed goose). RNAcentral's name for it is "lncRNA (ENSABRG00000011855.1)". Lineage: Eukaryota; Metazoa; Chordata; Aves; Anseriformes; Anatidae. The record is from RNAcentral.
CUCUUUAUCUUUCUCUUUAAAUUUUUCGUUUACCUGUUGUUUCCUUACAGCAUCACGUCGUUGGUCUUCUGGCCUUCUUCAGGCUUACGCAGCCAAGGCUGUCUCGCAGGAAGAUUUCUUCAGAAACCACCCCUGGGCCUCACUGAAAACGUGUGGGUUAGGUGUCCCAUCGCAGCAGUGGUCCAGGAACAGUCUAGGAAAACAUUCCGCCUUUUCCGAAGACCGUGACCUUCUACAGUGA